UCAAUUAUUUAUAGCCCUGGCUAUAGGAAAUUGUUAGUGGCAGACGGGUGAGUAAUGCGUAGGAAUCUACCUAGUAGUACGGAAUAGCCAUUAGAAAUGGUGGGUAAUACUGUAUAAUCCCCGAGGGGGAAAGAUUUAUCGCUAUUAGAUGAGCCUACGUUAGAUUAGCUAGUUGGUGAGGUAAUGGCUUACCAAGGCUAUGAUCUAUAGCUGGUCUGAGAGGACGAUCAGCCACACUGGAACUGAGAUACGGUCCAGACUCCUACGGGAGGCAGCAGUGGGGAAUAUUGGACAAUGGGCGAAAGCCUGAUCCAGCUAUGCCGCGUGAGUGAAGAAGGCCUUCGGGUUGUAAAACUCUUUCAAUAGGGAAGAUAAUGACGGUACCUAUAGACCAG
This 395-nucleotide ribosomal RNA is filed under the name Ehrlichia canis. RNAcentral's name for it is "bacterial SSU rRNA". It matches the Rfam family "Bacterial small subunit ribosomal RNA", at positions 63 to 489 of the family's 1533-position model. Lineage: Bacteria; Pseudomonadati; Pseudomonadota; Alphaproteobacteria; Rickettsiales; Anaplasmataceae. The record is from RNAcentral.